Molecule: ribosomal RNA, 253 nt
Filed under: uncultured bacterium
Lineage: Bacteria
Description: partial 16S ribosomal RNA
Rfam family: Bacterial small subunit ribosomal RNA
Source: RNAcentral
UACGUAGGGUGCGAGCGUUGUCCGGAAUUAUUGGGCGUAAAGAGCUUGUAGGCGGUUUGUCGCGUCUGCUGUGAAAUCUCAAGGCUCAACCUUGAGCUUGCAGUGGGUACGGGCAGACUAGAGUGCGGUAGGGGAGAUUGGAAUUCCUGGUGUAGCGGUGGAAUGCGCAGAUAUCAGGAGGAACACCGAUGGCGAAGGCAGAUCUCUGGGCCGUAACUGACGCUGAGGAGCGAAAGCAUGGGGAGCGAACAGG